Phalaenopsis equestris is the source of this 383-nucleotide long non-coding RNA. RefSeq lists it as uncharacterized. The record is from RefSeq and is a predicted model, not a curated record. The transcript has 3 exons. Lineage: Eukaryota; Viridiplantae; Streptophyta; Magnoliopsida; Asparagales; Orchidaceae.
UAUUCUCUAUAUAUACCUCGUCCCCCUCUUCUCUCUAUAUACCUCGUCCCGCUCUGCUGGUAUCGGUCAUAGCUUUUCGUUGAAUUAGGGUUGCGUAAAGGAGGAGGAGGAGGAGAUCGAAGCGGGGACCGUGUUUUCUACGAUGCCGAGGAGAUCUCCAUCUCUGUCGGCAUCAAAGCUGAUCUUCUCCCCCGACAUUUGAGGAUGAGAAGGCCAUAAUGAUGACAGGACAUUCACAAGAAAAAGAGCAAAAACCAUGACCUAGUAGGUUGAUGGUUGAGAUCUAUAAUUCUGAAUGUUGCUUGAGAAAGAAGCUUGAAACCAAGGAUUUUUGUACUUCACCUUCAAGACAUGUUGGGCACACAUCCUCCUCUUCAGAUGAG